Non-coding RNA from Elaeis guineensis (African oil palm), 989 nucleotides. The record is from RefSeq and is a predicted model, not a curated record. Lineage: Eukaryota; Viridiplantae; Streptophyta; Magnoliopsida; Arecales; Arecaceae.
CCACCGUCAAAACUUUCCAGUUUGGGCACUCCAAGCCUCCCACCCAAUUGAAGCUCUUCAGGACCGAAAAAAAACAGAGGGAAAACCGGGUAAGCAUACGAAAGAUCAACGGAAGGAAAGAUCGAAAAAUUGAAAGCUGGGGUGGUGCAUUUUUAUGCGAGUUGUGAUGGUGUGAGUUGGUCCUUUGAGGAUUUGAGAGCUUAAUCUUGGUAGAAGCAUGAUCUUUUGUCGGAGCAGGGGUAGUGGAAGUCAAAGGGGAGGUCGGAAUGGAGGGGAAAUUUGUGUGCGAAUGGCAAUCGGGGCUUUGGAUUUGAGGGCUGGAGAUUUUGGGACGGUGGAGAAGGAAGGAUGGUAGGGUUCGUCGCAGGGAGAGAGGGAGUGCUUUCGACAGCUCCUUGACUCCAUCGUUGCCUGCCUGCUGCUCUGUUUCUGUACCAGCAGCCUCGCCACCGGCACCUUCGACCUCACCGGUGUCACCGUCUGGGAGACAUCCUCGUUGUGUUUUGGGGUACAUAAGAAGGGGCUGAGCCCAAAAGAAAAAUUAUGCAUGCUGAUAUUCUACUCCAUAUGCAUCGGCUGACAGUAUAGUCUGCAGAGCACUUGGAACAGAAUCCCCUGCAUUCAAUUGAAGCUGCUUUCCACUGCAUGCAAGGCAACCCAAACGGCUACAUGGUUCCACAGCGAUGGUUGCGAGAAACUUUGAAUAGACCCUGUUGAUACAGAUUUUUAUCUCGAGAUCGGAUCCGCUGGAGUUGGACGGCGAUAUCAGGUCGGCAAUGGUAAGACCUGCAAGAAAAAUCUCUGAUCAGAAGUGGUUCCAACGGAAAUCCUUCAACGUUCAAGUCAGAAAUCCAACAAUAAAAGAGAAGGAGUGAGCGUGUUGGGAGAGAAGAGUUUUCAUACUUUGGGGAUCCCCUGUAAGCCUUUAUUUAUAGAUGGAAACUGAAGAGCUAUAAGAGAAAAAAAAAAUCAGACGGUUAGCUUUGACU